CCUACGGGAGGCUGCAGUGAGGAAUAUUGGUCAAUGGACGCAAGUCUGAACCAGCCAUGCCGCGUGCAGGAAGAAGGUGCUAUGCAUUGUAAACUGCUUUUAUACGGGGGUAAUUACAGAUACGUGUAUCUGGAUGAAAGUACCCUAUGAAUAAGGAUCGGCUAACUCCGGUCCAUCAGCCGCGGUAAUACGGAGGAUCGGAGCGUUAGUCGGAUUUAUUGGGGUUAAAGGGUGCGUAGGCGGUCAGGUCAGUUAGGGGUGAAACCUCGAUGCUAAACAUCCGAACUGCCUCUGAUACGGUCUGACUAGAGUGUAGGAGAGGAAGGCGGAAUGUGUGGUGUAGCGGUGAAAUGCAUAGAUAUCACACAGAACACCGAUUGCGAAGGCAGCUUUCCAGGCUAUUACUGACGCUGAGGCACGAAAGCGUGGGGAGCGAACAGGAUUAGAUACCCGGGUAGUC
RNAcentral lists this ribosomal RNA (460 nucleotides) under uncultured bacterium. RNAcentral's name for it is "partial 16S ribosomal RNA". It matches the Rfam family "Bacterial small subunit ribosomal RNA", at positions 338 to 795 of the family's 1533-position model. The record is from RNAcentral.